GCAUAAUCACUUGCCUUUUAAUUGAAGGCUGGAAUGAACGAACCAACGUGAGCUUACCUGUCUCCAUCAUGCACAUAGAAUUUAACCUUUAGGUGAAAAGGCCUAAAUAAAACUAAAAGACAAGAAGACCCUAUCGAGCUUCAUUGCUAAAUUAUUACACUACCUAACUCAACCUUAACCUCCUGUAAUAAUUAAACUAUUUUGUUGGGGCAACAGAGGAACACCCUAAAGCUUCCUAAAAAUUAUAAAUAAACCCGUUACGACCCAGAUAACUGAUCAAAGGACAAAGCUACCGUAGGGAUAACAGGUUAAUUUUUCUCGAGAGCCCACAUUAACAGAAAAGU
This 344-nucleotide ribosomal RNA is filed under the name Hermodice sp. VR-2006. RNAcentral's name for it is "partial 16S ribosomal RNA". It matches the Rfam family "Bacterial large subunit ribosomal RNA", at positions 1959 to 2517 of the family's 2925-position model. The record is from RNAcentral. Lineage: Eukaryota; Metazoa; Annelida; Polychaeta; Eunicida; Amphinomidae.